Molecule: transfer RNA, 90 nt
Filed under: Mycolicibacterium smegmatis MKD8
Lineage: Bacteria; Bacillati; Actinomycetota; Actinomycetes; Mycobacteriales; Mycobacteriaceae
Description: tRNA-Phe
Source: RNAcentral
CUCGAUCUGGUCGAACUGGCCGUCGCGCAGGAACUGCACGAACUGGUCGAGGUUGGCCAGGAAGGGCGGUUCGCUGCUGCCGAUCGAGAC